ACGAACGCUGGCGGCGUGCCUAAUCCAUGCAAGUAGAACGCACAGUUUAUACCGUAGCUUGCUACACCAUAGACUGUGAGUUGCGAACGGGUGAGUAACGCGUAGGUAACCUGCCUGGUAGCGGGGGAUAACUAUUGGAAACGAUAGCUAAUACCGCAUAAUAUUAAUUAUUGCAUGAUAAUUAAUUGAAAGGUGCAAUUGCACCACUACCAGAUGGACCUGCGUUGUAUUAGCUAGUAGGUGAGGUAACGGCUCACCUAGGCGACGAUACAUAGCCGACCUGAGAGGGUGAUCGGCCACACUGGGACUGAGACACGGCCCAGACUCCUACGGGAGGCAGCAGUAGGGAAUCUUCGGCAAUGGACGAAAGUCUGACCGAGCAACGCCGCGUGAGUGAAGAAGGGUUUCGGAUCGUAAAGCUCUGUUGUAAGAGAAGAACGGGUGUGAGAGUGGAAAGUUCACACUGUGACGGUAUCUUACCAGAAAGGGACGGCUAACUACGUG
This 504-nucleotide ribosomal RNA is filed under the name uncultured bacterium. RNAcentral describes it as "partial 16S ribosomal RNA". It matches the Rfam family "Bacterial small subunit ribosomal RNA", at positions 29 to 507 of the family's 1533-position model. The record is from RNAcentral.